Molecule: long non-coding RNA, 408 nt
Filed under: Linum usitatissimum (flax)
Lineage: Eukaryota; Viridiplantae; Streptophyta; Magnoliopsida; Malpighiales; Linaceae
Description: long non-coding RNA (LUSI_LNC007946)
Source: RNAcentral
AAACAGAAUUUCAAGAUUGCGAUUAUGAUAACAAAAUAGUAGUAAACACAAGUCUUUAUGAAUUAUUCAUGGGAGUCAAAUACUGAGGAAAUUGAAAACAAUGCUUCUCAACACACUCACAAGAUAGCUAGUGCAACAUAUAAAGUCUUGAAGGGAGGCAGAGAUUUGAAGUACAAAGUUAAUGCACAGAAUGAAGUUCUUCUCUCUAAAAAAGGCUUAUAGCUGAUGAAAGCUGCAACAGUGUUCUAUCUUCCACUGCUAUUUCAUUAUACUUCACAACAGUUCUUUUAUGCUGAGAGAUAUUUGCAUUAAGGUGGUGGAAUUAUGAUAAACCCCUCUUAUCUGGAGAUACAAGGUGGGGAAGUGGAGGCUUUUAUUCCUAUCUCCAUGGAUGGAAUCAUAUUCAGC